Long non-coding RNA from Maniola jurtina (meadow brown), 1639 nucleotides. RefSeq lists it as uncharacterized. NCBI's taxonomy places the organism in Eukaryota, Metazoa, Arthropoda, Insecta, Lepidoptera, Nymphalidae. The transcript has 3 exons. The record is from RefSeq and is a predicted model, not a curated record.
CAAAAAAAAACUAAAUUAAAAUCGGUUCAUUAGUUUAGGAGCUACGAUGCCACAGACAGAUACACAGAUACACAGAUCUAACUUAUAACACCCCUCUUUUUGGGUUGGGGAUUAAAAAGAUUUUAGUCUUUAUGGGUGAACCGUACUAUUGAAAUGACUGUUGAUAUUUAUAGAGCAAAAAUAUGGCGAGUGAGUUCUGAAAAUGUAUGCAUUAUCUGUGACAGAAAUUUGUAUAAGGCACUUGUCCCACCGCCGACGAAGAAGCAAAUACCUAUCGACUAUCAAUAUUUUCUCGCUUAAGAAACGUACAAUCGAUGUAUGAUUACGUGUCAAUAAAAGAGAUAAAUAGAUCGCUGACUCUGCACACUGUUCAUGUCGGUGAGGAUUAUUCUCUGUCCACUAGUUUGUCGCAGCGACAAGAGCUAUCAAAGAAAAAAACUCGCUCAACGAUACUAUUCAAACUCGCUUCUAGUUUCUAGCUCAACUCGUUUCUUGCUAAUCGUCGGCGGUGGUACAAAUGCCUAAAGCGUAUGACAAUUUUCACUAGUAAGUCUAUAUUAUACUUACUUGUCACUUAAAAAUAACCAUAUCCAAAAUUAGAACUAAAGUUUUGAUUCAAUAAAAUCUUAAGAAAAUAAUCGUGGUUUAACAUGAUCUAAGCAAAACGCCAUAAAUUCAGCUAAUUUGUGAGUUUCAUUGGUUAUGCCACUUGCGGGGAGUACCCGUAUGCUGCGUAUCGACGAAGUAACCCGCAAAAAAAUGAGCCAUUUUAAAAAAACUUUUUUUUUGAUAAAUUAAAAAACUCUGUGGUAAUCAAAUCUCUAAACCAAAUUAUUAAGCAACGUUGCCAACUUAGUUUUUUUGGUACUAGUUCUUGUGCAUUUUUGAUAUUUCAGUGCUUAUAAUUCCAUUUUAAGAAUUCCUAGAUUUUUAAGAAUUCCUUCCGCUUACAAAAGAUAGUAAAUAAUAUAUUACAACUCAAGAUAUAAGUAUCAUGCGCCCCGAUACUGUAAAUACUAUAAAAAGGGGCGUCCAAUAAAUCUUACAUAUAACAAAAUAAAGCCCUAUAUCAUAAGUAUUAUUAUAGGGGCGUACGAUACAAUGAAGAGUAAAAGAGAUGUCUAAAUUGAAAUGUUAAACCGGAAAAAAAUUUUUUUUGACUAUUUUCUCUUCCAAACUAUUUUAUUUUCAACGACUUUGCGCAUUUUUUGCAAAAGUAUCACUUUCUAGUGCAUUUCAGAAGUUGGUUUAGUUCAUAUUUUCUUGGAAAGCAGUUGGCAACACUGCAGCCAGAUCUAAAAAUAAAAUGUCAUCUUUUUCACAAUGUAUUCUGCAGACAAGCAUGUAAUCCUCCAUGUUGUUAAGAUAUUUUUGUGUGACAGAAUUACAGUACCCGAUAGGAAAUAUUGUACAUCGAAUUUUAGAAAGUGAUAACGGUUUCGUGGAGCGUUGUCUCAGUCGUUGAGAAUGACUAAACGUCGUAUGAGUGACAGAGACAACGCUCUACGAAGCUGUAAUCUCUUUCUAAAAGUCGAUGUACAAUAUUUCUUGCCGGCUAUAUGAAAUUUGACAUUGGUACCUACUAACUCUGAUCGCAACAAAAUUUUAGAGAAUUCGUAUCUUUUUCUUAUCAAUGUAA